Molecule: unclassified non-coding RNA, 349 nt
Filed under: soil metagenome
Description: partial contains 5.8S ribosomal RNA, internal transcribed spacer 2, and large subunit ribosomal RNA
Rfam family: 5.8S ribosomal RNA (bases 1-120)
Source: RNAcentral
GAUGAAGAACGCAGCGAAAUGCGAUACGUAAUGUGAAUUGCAGAAUUCAGUGAAUCAUCGAGUCUUUGAACGCACAUUGCGCCCCCUGGUAUUCCGGGGGGCAUGCCUGUCCGAGCGUCAUUGCUGCCCUCAAGCACGGCUUGUGUGUUGGGCCUCCGCCCCCCGGCUCCCGGGGGGCGGGCCCGAAAGGCAGCGGCGGCACCGCGUCCGGUCCUCGAGCGUAUCGGGCUUCGUCACCCGCUCCGUAGGCCCGGCCGGCGCCCGCCGGCGACCCCCCUCAAUCUUUCCAGGUUGACCUCGGAUCAGGUAGGGAUACCCGCUGAACUUAAGCAUAUCAAUAAGCGGAGGA